GGGGAUAUAGCUCAGUGUUAAGAGUGUUUGCCUAGCAUGUGAGGCCUUGGGUUCAAACCCCACUACUUCCC
This 71-nucleotide transfer RNA is filed under the name Marmota marmota marmota (Alpine marmot). It matches the Rfam family "tRNA". From Rfam's summary of the family: Transfer RNA (tRNA) molecules are approximately 80 nucleotides in length. Their secondary structure includes four short double-helical elements and three loops (D, anti-codon, and T loops). The record is from Rfam by way of RNAcentral. Lineage: Eukaryota; Metazoa; Chordata; Mammalia; Rodentia; Sciuridae. RNAcentral also lists the same sequence under 3 other names.